Molecule: small nucleolar RNA, 78 nt
Organism: Sceloporus undulatus (fence lizard)
Lineage: Eukaryota; Metazoa; Chordata; Lepidosauria; Squamata; Phrynosomatidae
Product: small nucleolar RNA SNORD66
Exons: 1
Source: RefSeq, a predicted model, not a curated record
CUUCUGUGAUGACCUCCAUUUUGAGCCAUCGUGUCUGGGCCACUGACACACUAUGAUGGAGUUUGAGGAUCUGAGCAG